RNAcentral lists this ribosomal RNA (491 nucleotides) under uncultured bacterium. RNAcentral's name for it is "partial 16S ribosomal RNA". It matches the Rfam family "Bacterial small subunit ribosomal RNA", at positions 29 to 506 of the family's 1533-position model. The record is from RNAcentral.
AGUGAACGCUGGCGGUAGGCCUAACACAUGCAAGUCGAACGGCAGCACAGUAAGAGCUUGCUCUUACGGGUGGCGAGUGGCGGACGGGUGAGGAAUACAUCGGAAUCUACUUUUUCGUGGGGGAUAACGUAGGGAAACUUACGCUAAUACCGCAUACGACCUACGGGUGAAAGCAGGGGAUCUUCGGACCUUGCGCGAGUGAAUGAGCCGAUGUCGGUUUAGCUAGUUGGCGGGGUACAGGCCCACCAAGCCGACGCUCCGUAGCUGGUCUGAGAGGAUGAUCAGCCAAAUUGAAACGGGGAAACGGUCAAGACUCCUAGGGGAGGCAGCAGUGGGAAAUAUUGGACAAUGGGCGCAAGCCUGAUCCAGCCAUACCGCGUGGGUGAAGAAGGCCUUCGGGUUGUAAAGCCCUUUUGUUGGGAAAGAAAAGCAGCAGGUUAAUACCCCGCUGUUCUGACGGUACCCAAAGAAUAAGCACCGGCUAACUUCGU